This 2163-nucleotide ribosomal RNA is filed under the name Salmonella enterica subsp. enterica serovar Enteritidis. RNAcentral describes it as "partial 23S ribosomal RNA". It matches the Rfam family "Bacterial large subunit ribosomal RNA", at positions 659 to 2803 of the family's 2925-position model. Lineage: Bacteria; Pseudomonadati; Pseudomonadota; Gammaproteobacteria; Enterobacterales; Enterobacteriaceae. The record is from RNAcentral.
AGGGGAGCCGGAGGGAAACCGAGUCUUAAUUGGGCGUUAAGUUGCAGGGUAUAGACCCGAAACCCGGUGAUCUAGCCAUGGGCAGGUUGAAGGUUGGGUAACACUAACUGGAGGACCGAACCGACUAAUGUUGAAAAAUUAGCGGAUGACCUGUGGCUGGGGGUGAAAGGCCAAUCAAACCGGGAGAUAGCUGGUUCUCCCCGAAAGCUAUUUAGGUAGCGCCUCGUGAAUUCAUCUCCGGGGGUAGAGCACUGUUUCGGCUAGGGGGCCAUCCCGGCUUACCAACCCGAUGCAAACUGCGAAUACCGGAGAAUGUUAUCACGGGAGACACACGGCGGGUGCUAACGUCCGUCGUGAAGAGGGAAACAACCCAGACCGCCAGCUAAGGUCCCAAAGUCAUGGUUAAGUGGGAAACGAUGUGGGAAGGCCCAGACAGCCAGGAUGUUGGCUUAGAAGCAGCCAUCAUUUAAAGAAAGCGUAAUAGCUCACUGGUCGAGUCGGCCUGCGCGGAAGAUGUAACGGGGCUAAACCAUGCACCGAAGCUGCGGCAGCGACACUGUGUGUUGUUGGGUAGGGGAGCGUUCUGUAAGCCUGUGAAGGUGUGUCGUGAGGCAUGCUGGAGGUAUCAGAAGUGCGAAUGCUGACAUAAGUAACGAUAAAGCGGGUGAAAAGCCCGCUCGCCGGAAGACCAAGGGUUCCUGUCCAACGUUAAUCGGGGCAGGGUGAGUCGACCCCUAAGGCGAGGCCGAAAGGCGUAGUCGAUGGGAAACGGGUUAAUAUUCCCGUACUUGGUGUUACUGCGAAGGGGGGACGGAGAAGGCUAUGUUGGCCGGGCGACGGUUGUCCCGGUUUAAGCGUGUAGGUGUGUGUUCCAGGUAAAUCCGGUUCACUUUAACACUGAGGCGUGACGACGAGGCACUACGGUGCUGAAGCAACAAAUGCCCUGCUUCCAGGAAAAGCCUCUAAGCAUCAGGUAACAUCAAAUCGUACCCCAAACCGACACAGGUGGUCAGGUAGAGAAUACCAAGGCGCUUGAGAGAACUCGGGUGAAGGAACUAGGCAAAAUGGUGCCGUAACUUCGGGAGAAGGCACGCUGACACGUAGGUGAAGUGAUUUACUCAUGGAGCUGAAGUCAGUCGAAGAUACCAGCUGGCUGCAACUGUUUAUUAAAAACACAGCACUGUGCAAACACGAAAGUGGACGUAUACGGUGUGACGCCUGCCCGGUGCCGGAAGGUUAAUUGAUGGGGUCAGCGCAAGCGAAGCUCCUGAUCGAAGCCCCGGUAAACGGCGGCCGUAACUAUAACGGUCCUAAGGUAGCGAAAUUCCUUGUCGGGUAAGUUCCGACCUGCACGAAUGGCGUAAUGAUGGCCAGGCUGUCUCCACCCGAGACUCAGUGAAAUUGAACUCGCUGUGAAGAUGCAGUGUACCCGCGGCAAGACGGAAAGACCCCGUGAACCUUUACUAUAGCUUGACACUGAACAUUGAGCCUUGAUGUGUAGGAUAGGUGGGAGGCUUUGAAGUGUGGACGCCAGUCUGCAUGGAGCCGACCUUGAAAUACCACCCUUUAAUGUUUGAUGUUCUAACGUGGACCCGUUACCCGGGUUGCGGACAGUGUCUGGUGGGUAGUUUGACUGGGGCGGUCUCCUCCUAAAGAGUAACGGAGGAGCACGAAGGUUGGCUAAUCCUGGUCGGACAUCAGGAGGUUAGUGCAAUGGCAUAAGCCAGCUUGACUGCGAGCGUGACGGCGCGAGCAGGUGCGAAAGCAGGUCAUAGUGAUCCGGUGGUUCUGAAUGGAAGGGCCAUCGCUCAACGGAUAAAAGGUACUCCGGGGAUAACAGGCUGAUACCGCCCAAGAGUUCAUAUCGACGGCGGUGUUUGGCACCUCGAUGUCGGCUCAUCACAUCCUGGGGCUGAAGUAGGUCCCAAGGGUAUGGCUGUUCGCCAUUUAAAGUGGUACGCGAGCUGGGUUUAGAACGUCGUGAGACAGUUCGGUCCCUAUCUGCCGUGGGCGCUGGAGAACUGAGGGGGGCUGCUCCUAGUACGAGAGGACCGGAGUGGACGCAUCACUGGUGUUCGGGUUGUCAUGCCAAUGGCACUGCCCGGUAGCUAAAUGCGGAAGAGAUAAGUGCUGAAAGCAUCUAAGCACGAAACUUGCCCCGAG